GCCGGGGCUGGCAACCAGGUUGCCAUCCAAACUGAGCAUCUGGAGUCCCGUAAGGGAUUCGGGGUUCAAAUCCCCGCCCCGGCG
Molecule: transfer RNA, 84 nt
Filed under: Candidatus Woesearchaeota archaeon
Lineage: Archaea; Nanobdellati; Candidatus Woesearchaeota
Description: tRNA-OTHER
Source: RNAcentral